RNAcentral lists this long non-coding RNA (1239 nucleotides) under Mytilus galloprovincialis (Mediterranean mussel). The record is from RNAcentral. Lineage: Eukaryota; Metazoa; Mollusca; Bivalvia; Mytilida; Mytilidae.
AACAAAAACAAGAGUGCACACGCUGAAAUGUCUCGCCUUCUUUACUAAUCAUUGAUAUUAUGUUGAUACUCCUAAAUAUACAGCUUUAUUACGACUGUCACAUAAACUUAACAUGAACCAUGAAAAUGGUCAAGGUCAGUUGAACCAUAUACUAGGCAGACAUGUACAGCUAACAAUGCUUCCAUACACCAAAUAUAGUUGACCUAUUGCUUACAGUUUAAGAAAAUAGACCAAAAAACAAAAACUUAACACUGAUCAAUGAACCGUGAAAACCAGGUCAAGGUCAAAUAAAACCUGCACGACUGACAUAUAGAUCAUAAAAUAUUUCCAGACACCAAAUAUAGUUGACCUAUGACAUAUAGUAUUAGAUAAAAAGACCAAAACUCAAAAACUUAACUUUUGACCACUGAACCAUGAAAAUGAGGUCAAGGUCAGAUGACAUCUGCCCGCUAGACAUGUACACCUUACAAUCAUUCCAUACAACAAAUAUAGUAAACCUAUUGCAUAAAGUAAGAGAAAAACAGACCAAAACACAAAAACUUAACUAUAACCACUGAACCAUGAAAAUGAGGUCAAGGUCAGAUGACAUCUGCCCGCUAGACAUGUACACCUUACAAUCAUUCCAUACAACAAAUAUAGUAAACCUAUUGCAUAAAGUAUGAGAAAAACAGACCAAAACACAAAAACUUAACUAUAACCACUGAACCAUGAAAAUGAGGUCAAGGUCAAAUGACACCUGCCAGUUGGACAUGUACACCUUACAGUCCUUCCAUACACCGAAUAUACUAGACCUAUUGCUUAUAGUAUCUGAGAUAUGGACUUGACCACCAAAACUUAACCUUGUUCACUGAUCCAUGAAAUGAGGUCGAGGUCAACUGAAAACUGUCUGAUGGGCAUGAGGACCUUGCAAGGUACGCACAUACUAAAUAUAGUUAUCCUUUUACUUACAGUAAGAGAGAAUUUAACAUUACAAAAAAUCUGAACUUUUUUUUCAAGUGGUCACUGAACCAUGAAAAUGAGGUCAAGGACAAUGGACAUGUGACUGACAGAAACUUCGUAACAUGAGGCAUCUAUAUACAAAAUAUGAAGCAUCCAGGUCUUCCACCUUCUAAAAUAUAUAGCAUUUAAGAAGUGAGCUAACACCGCCGCCGCCGCCGCCGCCGCCGUAGCCGCCGUAGCCGCCGGAUCACUAUCCCUAUGUCGAGCUUUCUGCAACAAAAGUUGCAGGCUCGACAAUAA